Molecule: ribosomal RNA, 497 nt
Filed under: uncultured bacterium
Lineage: Bacteria
Description: partial 16S ribosomal RNA
Rfam family: Bacterial small subunit ribosomal RNA
Source: RNAcentral
GACGAACGCUGGCGGCGUGCCUAAUACAUGCAAGUAGAACGCUGAAGCGCGGAGCUUGCUCUUCUUGGAUGAGUUGCGAACGGGUGAGUAACGCGUAGGUAACCUGCCUGGUAGCGGGGGAUCACUAUUGGACACGAUAGCUAAUACCGCAUAAAAUUGUUUAUUGCAUUAUAGUUAAUUGAAAGAUGCAACUGCAUCACUACCAGAUGGACCUGCGUUGUAUUGGCUAGUUGGUGAGGUAACGGCUCACCAAGGCGACGAUACAUAGCCGACCUGAGAGGGUGAUCGGCCACACUGGGAGUGAGACACGGCCCAGACUCCUACGGGAGGCAGCAGUAGGGAAUCGUCGGCAAUGGGGGGAACCCUGACCGCGCAACGCCGCGGGAGUGAAGAAGGUUUUCGGGUCGUAAAGCACUGUUGUAAGAGAAGAACGGGUGUGAGAGUGGAAAGUUCACACUGUGACGGUAUCUGAUCAGAAAGGGACGGCUAACUACGUG